Molecule: ribosomal RNA, 619 nt
Filed under: uncultured bacterium
Lineage: Bacteria
Description: bacterial SSU rRNA
Rfam family: Bacterial small subunit ribosomal RNA
Source: RNAcentral
CCUACGGGAGGCAGCAGUGGGGAAUCUUGCGCAAUGGGCGAAAGCCUGACGCAGCGACGCCGCGUGGGGGAAGAAGGCCUUAGGGUUGUAAACCUCUUUCAGGUGGGACGAAGCCACUCGGGUUAAUAGCCCAGAGGGUGACGGUACCACCAGAAGAAGCCCCGGCUAACUACGUGCCAGCAGCCGCGGUAAUACGUAGGGGGCAAGCGUUGUCCGGAUUUAUUGGGCGUAAAGAGCGUGUAGGCGGCCAGGUAGGUGGGUUGUGAAAACUGGAGGCUCAACCUUCAGACGUCGACCCAAACCCCCUGGCUAGAGUCCGGAAGAGGAGAGUGGAAUUCCUGGUGUAGCGGUGAAAUGCGCAGAUAUCAGGAAGAACACCCGUGGCGAAGGCGGCUCUCUGGGACGGUACUGACGCUGAGACGCGAAAGCGUGGGGAGCGAACAGGAUUAGAUACCCUGGUAGUCCACGCCGUAAACGAUGGGUGCUAGGUGUGGGGGGUGUCGACUCCCUCCGUGCCGAAGCUAACGCAUUAAGCACCCCGCCUGGGGAGUACGGCCGCAAGGCUAAAACUCAAAGGAAUUGACGGCUGAGACGNGCGACGACGACGACGAGGGAGAGG